Molecule: ribosomal RNA, 466 nt
Filed under: Vreelandella stevensii
Lineage: Bacteria; Pseudomonadati; Pseudomonadota; Gammaproteobacteria; Oceanospirillales; Halomonadaceae
Description: partial 16S ribosomal RNA
Rfam family: Bacterial small subunit ribosomal RNA
Source: RNAcentral
CCUACGGGAGGCUGCAGUGGGGAAUAUUGGACAAUGGGGGCAACCCUGAUCCAGCCAUGCCGCGUGUGUGAAGAAGGCCCUCGGGUUGUAAAGCACUUUCAGUGAGGAAGAACGCCUGGUGGUUAAUACCCAUCAGGAAAGACAUCACUCACAGAAGAAGCACCGGCUAACUCCGUGCCAGCAGCCGCGGUAAUACGGAGGGUGCGAGCGUUAAUCGGAAUUACUGGGCGUAAAGCGCGCGUAGGUGGCUUGAUAAGCCGGUUGUGAAAGCCCCGGGCUCAACCUGGGAACGGCAUCCGGAACUGUCAAGCUAGAGUGCAGGAGAGGAAGGUAGAAUUCCCGGUGUAGCGGUGAAAUGCGUAGAGAUCGGGAGGAAUACCAGUGGCGAAGGCGGCCUUCUGGACUGACACUGACACUGAGGUGCGAAAGCGUGGGUAGCAAACAGGAUUAGAUACCCCUUGUAGUC